RNAcentral lists this ribosomal RNA (800 nucleotides) under uncultured bacterium. Its description in RNAcentral is "bacterial SSU rRNA". It matches the Rfam family "Bacterial small subunit ribosomal RNA", at positions 80 to 880 of the family's 1533-position model. The record is from RNAcentral.
UUUGAUGGGCGUCGACCGGCGCACGGGUGAGUAACGCGUAUCCAACCUGCCCAUCACUUGGGGGAUAACCUUGCGAAAGUAAGACUAAUACCCAAUGACGUCUCUAGAAGACAUCUGAAAGAGAUUAAAGAUUUAUCGGUGAUGGAUGGGGAUGCGUCUGAUUAGCUUGUUGGCGGGGUAACGGCCAACCCAGGCGACGAUCAGUAGGGGUUCUGAGAGGAAGGUCCCCCACAUUGGAACUGAGACACGGUCCAAACUCCUACGGGAGGCAGCAGUGAGGAAUAUUGGUCAAUGGACGAGAGUCUGAACCAGCCAAGUAGCGUGCAGGAUGACGGCCCUAUGGGUUGUAAACUGCUUUUAUAAGGGAAUAAAGUGAGUCUCGUGAGACUUUUUGCAUGUACCUUAUGAAUAAGGACCGGCUAAUUCCGUGCCAGCAGCCGCGGUAAUACGGAAGGUCCGGGCGUUAUCCGGAUUUAUUGGGUUUAAAGGGAGCGUAGGCCGGAGAUUAAGCGUGUUGUGAAAUGUAGACGCUCAACGUCUGCACUGCAGCGCGAACUGGUUUCCUUGAGUACGCACAAAGUGGGCGGAAUUCGUGGUGUAGCGGUGAAAUGCUUAGAUAUCACGAAGAACUCCGAUUGCGAAGGCAGCUCACUGGAGCGCAACUGACGCUGAAGCUCGAAAGUGCGGGUAUCGAACAGGAUUAGAUACCCUGGUAGUCCGCACGGUAAACGAUGGAUGCCCGCUGUUGGUCUGAAUAGGUCAGCGGCCAAGCGAAAGCAUUAAGCAUCCCACCUGGGGAG